RNAcentral lists this ribosomal RNA (433 nucleotides) under Staphylococcus aureus. RNAcentral describes it as "bacterial SSU rRNA". It matches the Rfam family "Bacterial small subunit ribosomal RNA", at positions 1 to 422 of the family's 1533-position model. Lineage: Bacteria; Bacillati; Bacillota; Bacilli; Caryophanales; Staphylococcaceae. The record is from RNAcentral.
UUUUAUGGAGAGUUUGAUCCUGGCUCAGGAUGAACGCUGGCGGCGUGCCUAAUACAUGCAAGUCGAGCGAACGGACGAGAAGCUUGCUUCUCUGAUGUUAGCGGCGGACGGGUGAGUAACACGUGGAUAACCUACCUAUAAGACUGGGAUAACUUCGGGAAACCGGAGCUAAUACCGGAUAAUAUUUUGAACCGCAUGGUUCAAAAGUGAAAGACGGUCUUGCUGUCACUUAUAGAUGGAUCCGCGCUGCAUUAGCUAGUUGGUAAGGUAACGGCUUACCAAGGCAACGAUGCAUAGCCGACCUGAGAGGGUGAUCGGCCACACUGGAACUGAGACACGGUCCAGACUCCUACGGGAGGCAGCAGUAGGGAAUCUUCCGCAAUGGGCGAAAGCCUGACGGAGCAACGCCGCGUGAGUGAUGAAGGUCUUCGGA